Molecule: long non-coding RNA, 1685 nt
Filed under: Medicago truncatula (barrel medic)
Lineage: Eukaryota; Viridiplantae; Streptophyta; Magnoliopsida; Fabales; Fabaceae
Description: lncRNA gene11143
Source: RNAcentral
AAUACAACAAAGAUAACCAAACAUAUCAAUACAAGAAAGAUAACCAAACAUACAUCAAACAUAGUACACUAACAUGAAAAUUAACAUAACAAACUUGAGGAAUGGAAAACCUGAAAAUUCAACUCCAAAUUUUCUUCAUUUCCUAAGCAUAAACCAUUGAACCGAACCGAACUAUUCCAAAUCCAAAUUCAACUCCCCACCUUGAUCCACCAAGAAACACAGCAAGUUCACAAUUCACAUGCCAAAUUAGGGUUUCUAAGGCAGGAGCUAUGAGGACAAGGAAAUUCAGGCUACCAAAUUCAACGGCGAGAAUCUGAGGACGCAGACGACAGCCUGUCAGAUAAACCGCCAUGCAUCUCCUCAUCAUCACCUCCAAUUCGUGCCGGCACACGAAAACCAGAAAAGCCACCAGAAGCAAAUCCGGCACCCGAACCACCCGCUUGAAGUCGAUAAUCAGCCGCAACAAAUGUCGCCGGCGCAUCUAACCAAGCACGAACUGAAGGAUUGUAACUGGACUGAAGGGGUCCCCUCUGUGAAAGAUACUGAUUCUGACCAUACAUCACCGCCGGAAAAACAACCGGCGACGGCGAAGAACCAUGAAACACAAAACCAUCACCACCACCGCCACCACUACCAGUAUCAAUAGUAGUAGCACCACCACCGGAAUUCCACGUCACCAUUCCAUCAAAAUUCCCGGUGAAAAGCACGUGCUGUUGCACGUGUUGAUUCUGAUUCUGUUGAAGCGAAAGCUUCAAAUCAUUCCUAAACGACGCCGUUUCAGGUAUUUCAUUUUGAAACGGAAUGAAACUGUUGCUGUUACCAUUAUUGCUAAAAUUCUGAACAAAACGAAACUCGUUUUCGUUUUGACUCUGUUCCUCUGAAACGUCGUCGUUUUGUUGCUUUUGCUGUUGCUGUUUGAAAAGAGUGGGUUUCCAUGGAGGAAGAUGAGCAAGUUGAUCGAUGGCAGGCUUAGCUUUAUUAAUGAGCCAAUCAAGUGCUUUACUGGGCCUAUCAAAGCCCAGUCGAUCUUGAACAUCGUAAAAUUCAAUAGCGGUAUGGGCCGAGAGACGAACGCGUCUGUCUCUCGGCCCUUUCGCCGUGCAAACUUUACUAUGACGAUCUUUUCGACCUCUUGACCUUAUAAUGUGACCUCCGUCAACUUCCACUAUUUCUCCACCGUUCAUUGCUCCUCCAUAAUCCAAACCACUAGAACUAGAACGACACCGUUUUUUGGUUUGUGUUAACGGAAGAACGUUUCCUUCAGUUAAAUUUACUACAUGUUUUUGGUUUAAUAAUACGACAUCGUUCUGAUGAGGGUGUUGGUGAUGGUGGUGGUGGUUGUUGCUUGGAGGAUCCAGACUCUUCUAGUGUUGUUGAUUAUUCUUUUUUAAUAAAGUUAUUUAUUGGCAUUCAAUAUUGCAAGUUCCAUGCCAAAAUGGAAAAGUUUGAAGUACAAUUAGGUCAGGGUAAAGAGAAAGGUGUAUAGGGAAGAGGAAAUCAUUAUGAGAGGUGGCAGUGGUGUUUGGUUAGAGGAUUAAAGUUUCUGUGUAAUUUUGUUUCAUCACUGCUGUUCUUGUAUUGUAUUGUAUUGUAGUGUACUUGUAUGUGUAAGCUGGAUGCUACUCAUACAUAAUGGUACUAUACCAACUCAUCUAUAAUUCAUUCAAUCACCAAAACAAAACUCA